RNAcentral lists this ribosomal RNA (484 nucleotides) under uncultured bacterium. RNAcentral's name for it is "partial 16S ribosomal RNA". It matches the Rfam family "Bacterial small subunit ribosomal RNA", at positions 30 to 507 of the family's 1533-position model. The record is from RNAcentral.
AUUGAACGCUGGCGGCAGGCCUAACACAUGCAAGUCGAGCGGUUGCAGGGAGCUUGCUCCUGGAUUCAGCGGCGGACGGGUGUGUAAUGCCUAGGAAUCUGCCUGGUAGUGGGGGAUAACGUCCGGAAACUGGCGCUAAUACCGCAUACGUCCUGAGGGAGAAAGUGGGGGCUCUUCGGACCUCACGCUAUCAGAUGAGCCUAGGUCGGAUUAGCUAGUUGGUGGGGUAAAGGCCUACCAAGGCGACGAUCCGUAACUGGUCUGAGAGGAUGAUCAGUCACACUGGAACUGAGACACGGCCCAGACUCCUACGGGAGGCAGCAGUGGGGAAUUUUGGACAAUGGGCGAAAGCCUGAUCCAGCCAUGCCGCGUGUAGGAUGAAGGUCUUCGGAUUGUAAAGUACUUUAGGAUGGAAGGAAAGGCAGUAUGUUAAUACCUGGCUGUUUUGACGGUACCGACAGAAUAAGCACCGGCUAACUACGUG